UCAGCCCAAUGUGCUCUGGCUAGUACUGGCAUAAAGCCCUAUAUGAUAUCAGUUGCACCGAUAGCUAAAUUUAAAUAACUGUAUUUUCUUCCUAAGGUCUAACAUUUUAAGGUAUACUCAAAACCUGGAAACUUGCAACUUAUAUAAACCGCUUAUCCAGACUAGCUACAGUAGUAGAUGCCAAAAGGUGCUUCCAAAAAAUAGUGACAGAUACUUUAGCCAGAUCUGGACUUUCAUUUAGGAUGUCGUAAAUGCUCAUGGUACAGUUGACAAAUAAGACUCUUCUUAUUUGUCAGGCUUCGCCAGGUACAAGUUUUCUAGGGAAUUUUGGGUAAUACCUUUCUGACUUCCAAGGAGAAAGUAAAGGAAACGAUGUUCUCAUUAAUUUCAGGGAUUGCUGCAUGGUGUUGGUGUAGAGAGGCAGGCGAUGGUGAUGGUGGGAAUGGUAGUGUAAUGAUGAUGUAGGUGGAGGUGGUGGAGACGCUGUGGUGGUGGUGAUGGCGGUGAAAGUUUAGAUGGCAGUGAGGGUGGAGAUGGUGGUGGUAUGGAUUUUGGUGGUCACGGUGGUAUAGAUGGUGGUGAGAGGGUAAGGGUGUAGAGGAAGGUAGUGGUAUAGAUUUGGUGAUGGGGGUAUGGGUACAGAUGGUGGCAGUGGUGUAGAUGGUGGUGAUGAGGGUAUAGAUGGUGGUGGCAUAGACUUUGGUGGUGAUGGUGGUGAGGUUGUAGAUGGAGGUCAUCGUGUAGAAUUUGGUGGCAGUGGUAGUACAGGCGGUGGUAGUGCUAGUGCAGGCAGUGGUAGUGUAGAUGGUGGUGAGGGUUUAGGUGUUGAUGGUGAGGGUACAGAUUUUGUUGGUCUAGAUGGUGUGGUGAGAGCGUAGAUGGAGAUACUUUAGAUUUUAAUGGUAGUAAGGUUGGAGAUGGUGGUGAGGGUGCAGGUUGUGGUGAGGGUACAGGUUGUGGUGGUGAAGGUGCAGGUUGUGGUGGGUUGUGAGGGUGCAGGUUGUGGUGAGGGUACAGGUUGUGGUGGUGAGGGCAUAGGUUGUGAGGGUGCAGGUUGUGGUGAGGGUGCAGGUUGUGGUGAGGGUGCAGGUUGUGGUGAGGGUGUAGGUUGUGGUGAGGGUACAGGUGGUGGUGAGGGUGCAGGUUGUGGUGAGGGUGUAGGUUGUGGUGGUGAGGGUGUAGGUUGUGGUGAGGGUGUAGGUUGUGGUGGUGAGGGUGUAGGUUGUGGUGAGGGUGCAGCUUGUGAGGGUGCAGGUUGUGGUGGUGAGGGUGUAGGCAGUGGUAGAAGUAGAGGUAUCGUGCUGCUGGUGUGUGUGCUUAUGGUGGUAGAGAACGUGAUGGGAAUGGUGGUAGUGGCGAUGAUGAUGUCCUCAUAGUUGUAAAACAAAAUUUUGGUUAUUUUCACUUCUCUAGUCUGGAAAAGAGAAUUUUAUUUUUAAGUCUUAAGCAGAUUGCGACUACCCAGAUUAUGAAAUGAACUAUCCCCUCUCUUAGCCAGG
RNAcentral lists this long non-coding RNA (1499 nucleotides) under Homo sapiens (human). RNAcentral describes it as "non-protein coding lnc-FAM105A-8:1". The record is from RNAcentral. Lineage: Eukaryota; Metazoa; Chordata; Mammalia; Primates; Hominidae.